Loxodonta africana (African savanna elephant) is the source of this 3431-nucleotide long non-coding RNA. RefSeq lists it as uncharacterized. The record is from RefSeq and is a predicted model, not a curated record. The transcript is spliced from 4 exons. Lineage: Eukaryota; Metazoa; Chordata; Mammalia; Proboscidea; Elephantidae.
GUGAAGUGGUUGAUAGCGUAGGUUCUGAAGCAAGACUGCUUGGUUUCAAAUCUUACCUGGUAGCUCUGUGAUCUUAUCUCUCUGUAACAUUGUGUUGAAAGUAUUUGUGAUGAGAAUUAGAUGAGAUAAUCUACACAGAGGAAUUAUCACUAGCUUGAGUUAAGUGUGCCAUAAAUACGAGCUAUCCUUGUUAUUUUAUUUGUUAAGCGCUCAGUGCCAAGACCUGGGCUAGGGCUGGGGAUUCAUAAAUGUAUAAGACACGGCCAUUCCCUUGGGACACUUACAGCCCUCAUUAUACAUGGUUAAGUAGGUCCAUUGUGAAUUGGUCUAAUCUUCCAGGAAACUGGAUCUAGAAGAAUAUUAUAUGAGGCUUUCUCAUCCAGUUUUCUCCAACUGACCCCCAAACCUGAAAAAACGUCAUUAUGUUUAAAACAAUCCAAUGGACUUUUGUUUUUAAUUGCAAACAGCCUCUAAGCUCUCUUCCAGUAUUAAAAUUUGAAGGUGCUAGUUGAGACAUGGAGUCCCUGGGUAGCGCAAACAAUUAAACAAUCAACUACUAGACAGAAGGUUGGCAGUUGGAACCCACCCAGAGGCAGCUUGGAAGACGGGCCUGAUGAACUGCUUCUGAAAGGUCACGGCCUUGAAAACCCUAUGGAUCAGUUUGAGAACAGACUCGAAGGCAACUAACAGCAAUAAGCAUAACAGCUGAGAAAUAGUGUCAAAACCAUGUACUAACCCACGCCCUGGGUUCCCACAAUUCCUUUCAUGGUUGUUGAGUCACCGCCUUUCACUGUGUACUUUCAGUUUCCUGUUAACUGAUUUCUUUGCUGAGCUGGCUCUUUUGUGUCUAUUUUUAGUCAUCUGAGCUCAGAAGAAAAUCUGGAAAGCCCUGGGACAUUGGAAGAGUAAGAUAAAAGCCCAAAUUUCCAGUGAAAGAGAAAAGUGACAGAAAACCACUGCAGCUAAACUCAGAAGAAAGGGAAAGAAGGAAAGCACACUUAGGACUUUCUCAUUAAGGCAGCUUGGUUUCCAGCUCUAAAGAAUCUCUUCUCCAGGAUUUCCUUUAGAAAUGAAGUUGAAAAGAAAUCUCGGGAAGAAUGUGCCCUUUCCUCCUGAAGCUGCGUUCUUAGUGAAGUGCUUACCCUGGUGCCUCGAAGUCCAAAGUUCAAGUGUUCCCACCUUGGGGAAGGAAUGGACUUGUCUGCUAGCUGGAAAUCAAGAUGCAGCGCUCAGUCUUGUUCUUAGACUCAAAUUGGAGAAAGGUGUGUGACUGGACUGCAUCACCCUCAUCAAGACUAGAAGACCCAGUUUCAGAAGAGGCAGACUUUGAGAUUCAUGGAACUCAGAAAAACACUGUACUUAUUAUUAGUUUUAUUAUAGCAAAAAGGAUUCAUAAGGCGAGGUCUGUAAGUAAAUAUAGUAUUCAUUUUUCAUUUUCCUUUCUUUUACCUUUCCUCCUCUCUCCCCCUUUCCACACUGGCCAAGAUCUCCAUCAUAAAUGUGAAGUGGUCAGAGUAAGCAUAGCUGUCUGAUUCCUGCUGAUUCCUGACUGAUGGGGGGGAAAGGUUUAAAGCUGUGUGUUGUCCUCUGAGGAUUGGUUUAGGUACAGAUGCCGCUUUGAUGACUAAGGUGUGCCUGACCCAAGCCAUGGCUUUUUAAAUUACCUCAUACGCAUGGGAAAGCUGAACAGUGAAAAAGGAAGAUAGAAGAAAAAUUAAUGCAUUUGAAUUGUGUUCUUGCAGAAGAAUAUUGAAUAUACCAUGAACUGCCAAGAGAACAAACAAAUCAGUCUUAAAUACAGCCAGAAUGCUCCUUGGAAGUGAGGAUGGCCAGACUUUGGCUCGCUUACUUUGGACAAGUCAUCACUAGAAAAGGACAUCGUGGUUGGUAACGCAGAGGGUCAGUGAAAACAAGGAAAACCCUCAAUGAGAUGGACUGACACAAUAGCCACAACAAUGGACUCAAACAGCAACAACCAGGAAGAUAGCACAGGAUCGGGCAACGUUUCCUUCUGUUGUACAUACGGUCACCACAAGUCAGAACUGACUUCACAGCAACUGACGAUAACAAAUGCAACAUAUGCAGGAUUCUCCUUUUUAUUCUCUUCAGAAUGUUUCCUAAUUUCCAUUUUCAUCUCUGCUUUGAUACAAGGUUUAAUAGAAGUGUCUCUAAAAUUCCAAAUAUAUGGGAAUUCCUUCUUAUUUUUUGUAAAUGAAUUCUAGAUGUUACUUGAUUCUCCUGAAAUGCUAUUUGUGGGUACCUCUCCGGCCCUAGGAUGAAAAUAUCCUCCUUUGUGAUAGGCCCUGGGAAGUCCUAGUUUAGAACAACUCUUUAAGGUCUUCUGCUCCUGGCUGCCAGAACCACCACAUGGCCAGACAUGCCUGUGCAAUAGAUAAUCCUGCGUAGUAGGAAGGAGGUAUGAAACCCCUGGGUAAAUGAAAUAAAUCUUGAAAUACAUUGGCCAGGAACUGAACCCAGGUCUCUUGCAUGGGAGGUGAGAAUUCUACCAUUGAGCCACCAAUGCUUCACCUUGUUUUUGUAGCAGGAAGGUAGCAAGAAAGAAGUACUUGAACCACUGAAAAAGUUCCAAAAUAGACUUCACAUGGUGUUGUCUUUGGAAGACAGUGCUAACAAACGAACAGACACCAAAAGCUAAGGCUUAAAAGGAGACUUACAUCAGGCAACAGUAUAAAGUGAUGGUAUUCAAAUUAAAAUAUCAAAUUGAGCUGUUUUGUCAGCUUAAAUUACACCUCCGAAAAAGGCUUUUUUCAACUGAGUGACACACCCCCAUAGAAAAACAUCAAUAAUUCAUCCAGGACCCUUGUUUGUGUCCCUGAAUCUUCAACUGUCAGCCACAAACUUACUUUAGAAGGUCUGAGAAGGUAACCUAACUUGUUAGGUUAAAAAAAACAAAACAAAACAAAAACCAACCCAUUGCCGUCGAGUCGAUUCCAACUCAUAGUGACCCUCUAGGACAGAGUAGAACUGCCUAACAGAGUUUCCAAGGAGUGUCUGGUGGAUUCAAAGUGUUUACCUCUUGGUUAGCAGCUGUAGCACUUAACCACUAUGCCCCCAGGGUUUCCACUUGUUAGGUUAAAAUUCAGAGAAAAAAUAAGAAUUAGAAGAAGAAAAGGGCUAGACUCAAAAUAGAGACAAUGAAGAAACAAAUUUUGGUCCACCAAGUUAAUCCUUUGUAACUGUUUUUGUGCAAGAAUAAUGAUCACUCUUGUAAUCAUUAUGAUAAUAGUGUGUGUCUGUUUUUUAAGGUAUUUGAGCAUUUGAAUGGAAAUGUCACUAUUAUAAAAAAAAUAAUUAACAUUAAUUUGGCAAUCAAUGGUUAAUUGGGAGAAUUCAAUUUUCUGAAUUAAUAUACAUUGAUGUAUUAGUUAUAUAAGGAGUAGACUAUUUUAAAUAAAUAUUGAUGGCUGAAA